Molecule: unclassified non-coding RNA, 5734 nt
Filed under: Lytechinus variegatus (green sea urchin)
Lineage: Eukaryota; Metazoa; Echinodermata; Echinoidea; Temnopleuroida; Toxopneustidae
Description: uncharacterized LOC121417521, transcript variant X1
Source: RNAcentral
UGAAUUUAUAUAUCAAUAUUGAAAGCGUUUAAUUAUUUGAAUUUAUUUCCCUUCAUUUAUUUAGGACACCGUAUAGAAUGACAUACGAUAUUUUUGUUAUGCAAAUUAUGUCCACUUAGUGGAGUUCGGUGCAUAGGUACGUUGACGUGUCACUCCAUUUUUGAAAGGUUCAGGAGUCAGACGCCAGUAUCGGCCUCCGCAGUUUGGGGGAAACUUUCUGUUGUUUAAUGUGAUUUAAACGUGGUUUUAUGUCCCGCCAGAAAAGAGUAAGUGUUUUUGAAUUCAUUAGAUCCUUUAUGUUUUCCAUAUAUGUCAGAUAAAAUAAAUAAAGUCAAUUUGUAGUGUCUCGAUUUGCCCGGUUUAGGAAUGAGAGCAGGGCGUGUAGGUUUUUGACCCGGUUUUCGGCCCGGUUCCCGGUUCUGGUUUCGGAUUUCCGGUUUUCAGUUUUUUGUCUAGAUUCAUUAUAAAUUAUGCCAAUUGAAAGAGUUGAUCCACGAAAGUGAAAAUUGUAUGUUUGUAUUAAGAACUUAUUUGCGAAAUUAAUAAAAAGGAAAAUAAUGAUAUUAUGAUUUUGAUAUAACAGAGAAGAAUAUUAUUCACAUAAACAGAUAAACAUAAUAGAUACUAAAUCAAAACAAGUUUUGAUCUGAAAUCAAAACAUUUCAGAAUCAAGUGAAUGUUUAACUUCAUUGAUGUAUACUAAGAAAGUAUUUGGUUAUUACUCUACAAGUACGUGUCGUAAUUUAAUUGCUGGCAAAGGAAUUAUUUAAUGUAGUAGCCACUUGUUACUGUUUGUGAAAAGAAUUAGAAACAAAUGCAUAUAAGCCUUGACUAGUUAUGAUUUAAGUUGAAUUAUGUACUAGUAUAUGCAAGAUAAGUAAAGUUAUUUUAAAUCAACGUGUGCAUAGCUGAAAGAAAUUGACUAAGUUAAAGAAAGUUGUGAUUAUUCAAAGCUACAAGAAUUUUACAGAUAUUGCUUCUGUUCUUUCGACAUGUUUGAUCAAACAGACAGUAAAUUAUAAUAAUAAUUUCGAUAACAAUUCGGUUUGAUAAUCAUGAUUAUACUGUUUUAAGGGACAAUAGACAAUGAGUGUUCGUGUGUAAAAACAAUGAAAUAAUUACACGUGAAACAAGAUGCAGUGUGAUAAAACAAUCUUAUUUAUUAACAUGCUAUUAACUGAACAUCAGUUAUGUAAACAAAGACUUAUUAUUGUUUUAUAUAUUUUGUUCAAACAGAUCGAAUAAAAUAUACGUUUAACGACGUUAUAUAUCGGUACGGCGGGAUGUGACGGUUUGUGUUCCUUCUUUCGACUAUCCAUCGCAUUCGAUUCUUUUUCCUGAUCUGGGUUAGAAGAUAGAGGGAAUUCCGGAAACAAUGGCAUCUGAGCAAGCAUCUAAGGAUCUCAAGAUCAAGCGGAGAACAGCAAAGGCGAAACUAACUAGGCUGUCGAAUGGUUUGCAACAUUUACUGGACGAUGACAGGGAUCUUGAUGAGGUAACGGAUAUGUUUAAGGAUUUGAAUGUUGCUUAUCAGGAAUUGGAGGACAGGCACGAAAGGUACUGUGAGACAAUCGUAGAUGAUGAGGUAUUCAUGACAGAGGAUGCCUGGCUAUCUGAGUGUCAGACAUCAUUUCUUGACAUGCAGAGAAAGGUUAAGGACUAUAGCAAGACUAAGCUUAAGUCUGACGGGUCAACGGAGGAUUCAGUUGUAAACAAUGCUACUCCCGAAGUUACUACCAGUAAAUCGGUAGAGGUUUCGUCAUGCAAGGUUCAGGUAGAGCGACCAAAGCUGCCUCGAUUUACUGGAGACGUACGAGACUACAUGACAUUUAAAUCGGAUUUUAAGCAUCUAAUCGAAUCGAGGUAUAGCAAGAGAGAUGCUAUCACAAUUCUGAGAUCCUCUCUAGUGGGAAAACCUCUUGAUCUCAUACGUGGUUUGGGGAACGAUUACGACUCGGCAUGGUCUCAUCUUGACAACAUUUACGGAGACCCGAGAUUGGUAGCUGAUGCUAUCGUAUAUGACUUGGGGAAGUUCCGACCUCUCAAGGAUGGAGAGGAUGGCCGAUUCUGUGACCUUGUUCAUCUUAUCAGGAGAAGUUACAACUCACUGCAAGAAGUAGGUAGGGCGAAUGAUAUGGACAACAAUCAUAUGAUUUCUUUGAUAGAGAGAAAAUUAAGCAGUGAUGAUAGAAAGCUAUGGCUGAGAUUCAUUGACCGAGAGCGAACAGAUGCAUCACUCCAUGCAUUACUUUAUUGGAUGGAACUGGAAUUGAAGACUAGAGUAAGAGCAUCUGCUCCACUUCGGGACAGUAGAAGUUCUACAAUUGGACACCUCGCUAAGAAUGACGGAAUCACGGAAAGAAAGCCCGACUUUAAGUGCUGGUUAUGUAAGACGUCUGAUCACUGGGUUGACCAGUGCAAGAAAGUUCUUUCGAAAUCCCAAGAAGAGCGAUUUCAACUGAUGAAAGAAAACAGGGCUUGUUUCAGCUGCCUCAAGAGAGCUGGUAAGGACCAUAACUUGAAGACAUGCAAGCGCAGGAAAAGAUGCAAUGAGAAGAUCAAUACUGGCGAGCAGUGUUCUUCCUAUCACCACCCUUUGCUUCAUAGACAGAUUCAGACAGGGAGUGUGGAUAUUGCCAGUAUGACAGGAACACCUGCGCUUCUGCCUGUGCUUAAGGUAAAGAUGUUGGGCCCGAACGGAAAUUAUGAAGGAAAUUGUCUCCUAGACUCGGGAGCUCAGAUGAGUCUCGUAAGAAAUACAGUUGCAGAUGAGUUAGGACUGAAAGGGAAACCCACUGUUGUGAAUGUUACCAAGGUAGGAGAUGAAAUGGAGGAAUAUAACACUAUGCUGUACAAGGUGAAAGUUCAAGGGAUUAAUCGCCAUCAGAGUUACAAUGUUUCUGCAAUAGGACUCGACGUCAUCAAUAACAGCAUUACCAGUGUUAGUAUUGAAGAACUGGGAGUAAUCUUCAACCUGAGGAAAGAUGAAAUUCACAGAGGGGAUGGGCCGAUUGACAUCCUCAUAGGAACUGACCAUUCCAAGAUGCAUGUAGGGUACACGAAAAUACAAGGGAAUCUCGUGGCCCGUCUCUCACCGUUAGGCUGGGUCAUUUUCGGGAGUACUACAGAAAACUACUCGGCAGGAGCAGUGCUUCACAUCACAGUAAACAAUUCUGUAGAUCUCAGAGAAUUCUGGACAACAGAAGGAAUGGGGGUGUGUCAUGAUCCACAGAGAUGUCAGUCCAAUAAGAUGACCAAGCUAGAAGAUGAGGAGUUUCGAGUCAUCGGUCCUUCAUGUGAGAAGAUGGAAAAGCAAUGUCUCGACCAAUAUCCUCGGCGGAAAGACCUUAGCCAGUCGCGGCAUAUUCUCCAGAAUGUGAAUGUCCGAGAUGAAGUCAGCAGAUGUGUUAGCCUGGACAAGCUGAAUGACAGACAGAAGGAAGGUCUUGACUUCCUUCGUAAAACAGGGACAGAACGGCCCGUAGAAGCAAAGCUAGAGGAAAAGCUUCAUGAGGUAGUCAGGGAAUUGCGAAUGGAGAGACCAGUUUUGACUGUACAAGAAUCAAAAUCCCAACAUAGAAUUGACUGUCAGCAAUUUUCUAACUGGAUGAAACUUGUGAGGGUGACUUCUUACGUCCUGAAGUUCAUUGGAAAGUUGAAGUUAAAGUCCAAGAGAAUGGUAGAUGAGGACGUCGAAGUCGCCAAUAGUAACCUGACACCAACUGACAUACAGAAAGGAGAGGACCAUUUGAUAAAGCGUGCUCAGGAGUCUUUGAAGUCCAGGGUAGACAAAGGAGAAAUGAAGACGCUCAGUCCGUAUAGGGAUGAAGCAGGAAUUAUUCGGGUUGGAGGGAGACUAGAUCGGGCUGAGAUGCCAUUAGCCAUGAAGCAUCCGGCUCUGCUCCCUAACGAACACUGGAUCUCAACCUUGAUCAUUCGGCAUAUUCAUAAGGAUGGUCAUACCGGUGUUGCUACGACUACAGCAAAGGCCAGGAGAAAGUACUGGAUCUUGAAAGCACAUAAUCUGGCCAAGACGGUCAAGUUCAGGUGUACCACAUGCAGAACUUUUGAACACAAAUUAGAAUCCCAGGAGAUGGCGGAGCUACCGAAGGAAAGACUGCGGCCGCAUUCACCGCCAUUCCAUUAUUCAUCUUGCGAUUACUUUGGCCCUCUCAUUGUAAAGAUUGGACGGAACAAGACAACAAAACAUUAUGGAGUACUGUUCACUUGUUUGAACACAAGAGCAGUCCACCUGGAACAAGCCACUGAUUGCUCUACAAUGGAGUUUAUUCAGGUACUUAGACGGUUUUUUGCCAUUAGAGGUCAGCCAGCAAAGAUGAUAAGUGACAAUGGAACUCAAUUUGUCGGUGCUGAACACGAGUUGAAAGCAAUGGUGAAAGGCUGGUCAGAUGAGGACCUAAAAGACUUCUGUGCAGACAAGGGCACUGAAUGGAUCUUCACUACUCCUGCAGCUCCACACCAAAACGGAUGUGCUGAGGCAUUGGUGAAAAGUUGCAAGUAUGCCCUAAAGAAGUCUAUAGGAGAGCAAAUACUGUCUCCAUUUGAACUGCACACUUGUCUUCUGGAAAUUGCCAAUUUAGUGAACCAGAGGCCGAUUGGCAGAAUACCGACAGACCCCGAUGACGGGAGCUAUCUGAGUCCUAAUGACAUGCUCUUAGGACGAGCCUCAAGUGACGUUGCGCAAGGACCAUUCAGAGAAACUGCGAAUCCAAGACAUCGUGUCGAACUGGUACAACGGAUUGUUGACUCAUUCUGGCAUAGGUGGACAAGAGAUGUUCUACCACUACUAACACCCAGACGGAAAUGGAACACAGAUCGUCGGAACAUUCGCGUGGAUGACGUAGUAAUGAUGACAGAUUCAAACGCAGUGCGUGGAAAAUGGACAAUCGCGCGUGUUGUUCAAGUGUACCCAGGACAAGACGGUAAAAUUCGCAAUGUGAAGGUAAAAACAUUAAAUGCAGAAUACCGCCGACCAAUAACGAAGAUCGCACUAAUCUAUCCUGCGGAAGGUUAUGAAGACUAAACUCAAAAGAAGAGAAGAAUCAGAAGAUGAAAGGUGAAGAAAGAAGAUGAAGAAAAAGAAUAGUAAAGUUUAAUGUAAUGUAUGACUCAUGAGACUAACAAUAUCUAAUACAUCUCGAACUAAUCAUGACAAAAUCUAACAAAAUAAAGAGACUAACCAUAAUGUUAAAUACAACACUGAAUGUAACCAUGGUGACGAUAAUUGCAAUACAAGUUUGACUGAAUAAUAGAAAGUAGGCAUGUAACUUUGUAAUUUAAUAUUUACUAUGUAACUUUAAUUUAAUAUUGACUUUGGAAGUUAAGGACAGGUAAUAUGUGUUGUUAUGAGGAAACGAGACAUUCCUCAUAGGGCGGGGAGGAUGUUUCGCCCAGCGAAAAGAUUGUUUGAAUUUAUAUAUCAAUAUUGAAAGCGUUUAAUUAUUUGAAUUUAUUUCCCUUCAUUUAUUUAGGACACCGUAUAGAAUGACAUACGAUAUUUUUGUUAUGCAAAUUAUGUCCACUUAGUGGAGUUCGGUGCAUAGGUACGUUGACGUGUCACUCCAUUUUUGAAAGGUUCAGGAGUCAGACGCCAGUAUCGGCCUCCGCAGUUUGGGGGAAACUUUCUGUUGUUUAAUGUGAUUUAAACGUGGUUUUAUGUCCCGCCAGAAAAGAAUCGAAUAAAAUAUACGUUUAACGACGUUAUAUAUCGGUA